RNAcentral lists this ribosomal RNA (497 nucleotides) under uncultured bacterium. RNAcentral describes it as "partial 16S ribosomal RNA". It matches the Rfam family "Bacterial small subunit ribosomal RNA", at positions 28 to 507 of the family's 1533-position model. The record is from RNAcentral.
GAUGAACGCUGGCGGCGUGCCUAAUACAUGCAAGUCGAGCGAACAGACGAGGAGCUUGCUCCUCUGACGUUAGCGGCGGACGGGUGAGUAACACGUGGAUAACCUACCUAUAAGACUGGGAUAACUUCGGGAAACCGUAGCUAAUACCGGAUAAUAUAUUGAACCGCAUGGUUCAAUAGUGAAAGACGGUUUUGCUGUGACUUAUAGAUGGAUCCGCGCCGCAUUAGCUAGUUGGUAAGGUAACGGCUUACCAAGGCAACGAUGCGUAGCCGACCUGAGAGGGUGAUCGGCCACACUGGAACUGAGACACGGUCCAGACUCCUACGGGAGGCAGCAGUAGGGAAUCUUCCGCAAUGGGCGAAAGCCUGACGGAGCAACGCCGCGUGAGUGAUGAAGGUCUUCGGAUCGUAAAACUCUGUUAUUAGGGAAGAACAAAUGUGUAAGUAACUAUGCACGUCUUGACGGUACCUAAUCAGAAAGCCACGGCUAACUACGUG